CGGGGUAUAGCUCAGCUGGAUAGAGCACCUGGCUUCGAACCAGGGUGUCGUGGGUUCAAAUCCUACUACCUCGACCA
This 77-nucleotide transfer RNA is filed under the name compost metagenome. RNAcentral describes it as "tRNA-Arg". It matches the Rfam family "tRNA". Rfam says of the family: Transfer RNA (tRNA) molecules are approximately 80 nucleotides in length. Their secondary structure includes four short double-helical elements and three loops (D, anti-codon, and T loops). Further hydrogen bonds mediate the characteristic L-shaped molecular structure. tRNAs have two regions of fundamental functional importance: the anti-codon, which is responsible for specific mRNA codon recognition, and the 3' end, to which the tRNAs corresponding amino acid is attached (by aminoacyl-tRNA synthetases). tRNAs cope with the degeneracy of the genetic code in two manners: having more than one tRNA (with a specific anti-codon) for a particular amino acid; and 'wobble' base-pairing, i.e. permitting non-standard base-pairing at the 3rd anti-codon position. The record is from RNAcentral.